This 160-nucleotide ribosomal RNA is filed under the name uncultured Enterobacteriaceae bacterium. Its description in RNAcentral is "partial 16S ribosomal RNA". It matches the Rfam family "Bacterial small subunit ribosomal RNA", at positions 355 to 507 of the family's 1533-position model. Lineage: Bacteria; Pseudomonadati; Pseudomonadota; Gammaproteobacteria; Enterobacterales; Enterobacteriaceae. The record is from RNAcentral.
UGGGGAAUAUUGCACAAUGGGCGCAAGCCUGAUGCAGCCAUGCCGCGUGUAUGAAGAAGGCCUUCGGGUUGUAAAGUACUUUCAGCGAGGAGGAAGGCGACAAGGUUAAUAACCUUGUCGAUUGACGUUACUCGCAGAAGAAGCACCGGCUAACUCCGUG